This 2084-nucleotide ribosomal RNA is filed under the name Leptolyngbya sp. CHAB TP201703.1. Its description in RNAcentral is "bacterial SSU rRNA". The stretch from base 1 to 1486 matches the Rfam family "Bacterial small subunit ribosomal RNA". Lineage: Bacteria; Bacillati; Cyanobacteriota; Cyanophyceae; Leptolyngbyales; Leptolyngbyaceae. The record is from RNAcentral.
AGAGUUUGAUCCUGGCUCAGGAUAAACGCUGGCGGUAGACAUAACACAUGCAAGUCGAACGGAGUGCUUCGGCACUUAGUGGCGGACGGGUGAGUAACACGUGAGAAUCUGCCUUUAGGACGGGGACAACGACUGGAAACGGUCGCUAAUACCCGAUAUGCCUUUUCAGUGAAAAGGAGAAAUCCGCCUGAAGAUGAGCUCGCGUCCGAGUAGCUAGUUGGUGGGGUAAUGGCCUACCAAGGCUGCGAUCGGUAGCUGGUCUGAGAGGAUGAUCAGCCACACUGGGACUGAGACACGGCCCAGACUCCUACGGGAGGCAGCAGUGAGGAAUUUUCCGCAAUGGGCGCAAGCCUGACGGAGUCAUACCGCGUGCGGGACGACGCUCUAGGGAGUGUAAACCGCUUUUGACAGGGAAGAAUCCAUGACGGUACCUGUCGAAUCAGCCUCGGCUAACUCCGUGCCACCAGCCGCGGUAAUACGGAGGAGGCAAGCGUUAUCCGGAAUUAUUGGGCGUAAAGGGUUUGUAGAUGGUUGGAUGUGUCUGCUGUUAAAGCCAAUAGCUCAACUAUUGAGGUGCAGCGGAAACUAUUCGACUAGAGGACAGUAGGGGCAGAGGGAAUUCCCAGUGUAGCGGUGAAAUGCGUAGAUAUUGGGAAGAACACCGGUGGCGAAAGCGCUCUGCUAGGCUGUACCUGACAUUGAUGAACGAAAGCUAGGGGAGCGAAAGGGAUUAGAUACCCCUGUAGUCCUAGCUGUAAACGAUGGAUACUCGAUGUGGCGGGUAUUGACCCCCGCCGUGUCUAAGCUAACGCGAUAAGUAUCCCGCCUGGGGAGUACGCACGCAAGUGUGAAACUCAAAGGAAUUGACGGGGACCCGCACAAGCGGUGGAGUAUGUGGUUUAAUUCGAUGCAACGCGAAGAACCUUACCAGGGUUUGACAUGUCCGGAACCCUCUUGAAAGAGAGGGGUGCCUUCGGGAACCGGAACACAGGUGGUGCAUGGCUGUCGUCAGCUCGUGUCGUGAGAUGUCGGGUUAAGUCCCGCAACGAGCGCAACCCUCGUUCUUAGUUGCCAGCAUUUAGUUGGGCACUCUAGGGAGACUGCCGGUGACAAACCGGAGGAAGGUGGGGAUGACGUCAAGUCAGCAUGCCCCUUACGCUCUGGGCUACACACGUACUACAAUGCUUCGGACAAAGGGCUGCCAACUCGCGAGAGUGCGCUAAUCCCAUAAACCGAGGCUCAGUUCAGAUUGCAGGCUGCAACUCGCCUGCAUGAAGGCGGAAUCGCUAGUAAUCGCAGGUCAGCAUACUGCGGUGAAUACGUUCCCGGGUCUUGUACACACCGCCCGUCACACCAUGGGAGUUGGCCACGCCCGAAGUCGUUAUCCUAACCUAUAUGGAGGGAGACGCCGAAGGCAGGGCUGAUGACUGGGGUGAAGUCGUAACAAGGUAGCCGUACCGGAAGGUGUGGCUGGAUCGCCUCCUUUUUAGGGAGACCUACCCACUCUGAUUGCUGAACGCACAGUGUCAUUAAGCAAAGAGUUGGUCAUCCCAAGGUCAAUCGAGUUUGGUGCUAGCUUUCAAACUAUCCUAGGUUUCUUUUUUUGCUAAAUUUCACCAUCCUGGUGAACAUCUUUACAGCAAUUUCUUAAUUGACUCGACAAAAAUCCUGGAAUUCGCUAAAGUAAUUUUUGCGAUAAUUUUUAGAGUCUAUUUGUUCUUUUGUUAGAACAAUUCUGGGAACGCUCAAAAAAUUUCAAAAAGAAGGUGCAUCUAACGAUUUAAGAUGCGAGCGCGAUCACGCAAGUGCAUUAAAAGAAUACACAACAGAUAACACUCAAAUCAACACAACUGAUUUCCCUUAAAUCACUAUUCAAUCCUUAGAGCGAACAAUUUCAGCAACUAAUUUAGGAAAGGCUAAAUAGACUGCUGGGAUUAGAGCCAGCGAGAACCUAGAAAACUGCAUAGCAAGAAACUUGUCAGGUAGAACAUCAAGGCUUGCCUUGAUGAGAACAGACACCAAUGAAAUUUUGUGGUCAAGCUACAAAGAGCUAACGGUGGAUACCUAGGCACACAGAGGCGAAG